Molecule: long non-coding RNA, 920 nt
Organism: Triticum aestivum (bread wheat)
Lineage: Eukaryota; Viridiplantae; Streptophyta; Magnoliopsida; Poales; Poaceae
Exons: 2
Source: RefSeq, a predicted model, not a curated record
AGCGACUCCCGUCUCCUGGACUUGCUACUCCCGCAGCCCUAGGAACAGCCGCCGGCACCGCCAGCCCUCACGGCCUCACCACUACUUAUGGAGCGGCACUUCAGCAGCCAACGCCACCACUGGACAGUGGCAGUCCAACGCCCCAACUACAUAUCCCCUCGACCCCUCCAUCUCUGCUUCUCCACGCACGCACGGGAACGACGGCGGGCUGGCGACGGCGGCGGGCCGGCGCAAGGUUCUGAGCUGCGAUGCGGAGCGGCGCAACGUGCAAUAGCGCUGCUGCGCGCAGGACCACGAGCAUGACGGCACGGGUGUCCCAGGAGGCAGCGGUAGACCACGACGAGGAGGCUGACCGUGCUGAGGAGGUGACGGCCACACCAAACAGCCGCCGCUCAGGGUCUACCUUUUCCCCUAAAAGAAUAAAGAUAGAAAAAUUAAUUUAGGUUGGUAGUUACCAUAUUCACUACAGUGUCCUUGAUGAUGAAGAAGAAACUAUGGUAACAUAUUCCACUCAUGAAAUUCGACUUCUAAAUGUUUCAAACUUGCAAUGUUUGUACUAUUUAUUUCCACGAUUUUAACAGUUGUGCUUUUGUUAUGUUCACUUCAACGAUGAGUCUGAUUCCAUCAUAACCGAAGCCUAGAAGAUGUUGCCUAGUACAUUGAGGUGAAGAAUGGAAGAUGAUGCAUGCUUCUGCCUGUGAUCACUUGAUAUUGUGUGAUGCCAUUUUGUGAGAAACCAUGACUGAGAAAUGAUGUUGUGUUAUUGCUCUGGUCUGUGUGGUGUCUGGUCUUUAGUCUCUGGGUGUUGUGUUGCAUUGUCCCGCACGAGAUGCGAUGUAUAAGUUUCUUCCUGUUCUGCAGCUGUUGUUUUGGCAUGCUGGUACCUCUUUUCCUUACUAUAAUUGCAACUGUUAUUGGUA